AAACUGAAGAGUUUGAUCCUGGCUCAGAUUGAACGCUGGCGGCAUGCCUUACACAUGCAAGUCGAACGGCAGCACGGGUGCUUGCACCUGGUGGCGAGUGGCGAACGGGUGAGUAAUACAUCGGAACAUGUCCUGUAGUGGGGGAUAGCCCGGCGAAAGCCGGAUUAAUACCGCAUACGAUCUAGGGAUGAAAGCGGGGGACCUUCGGGCCUCGCGCUAUAGGGUUGGCCGAUGGCUGAUUAGCUAGUUGGUGGGGUAAAGGCCUACCAAGGCGACGAUCAGUAGCUGGUCUGAGAGGACGACCAGCCACAC
This 312-nucleotide ribosomal RNA is filed under the name Burkholderia vietnamiensis. Its description in RNAcentral is "bacterial SSU rRNA". It matches the Rfam family "Bacterial small subunit ribosomal RNA", at positions 1 to 313 of the family's 1533-position model. Lineage: Bacteria; Pseudomonadati; Pseudomonadota; Betaproteobacteria; Burkholderiales; Burkholderiaceae. The record is from RNAcentral.